RNAcentral lists this ribosomal RNA (581 nucleotides) under Rhodococcus sp. (in: high G+C Gram-positive bacteria). RNAcentral's name for it is "bacterial SSU rRNA". It matches the Rfam family "Bacterial small subunit ribosomal RNA", at positions 158 to 753 of the family's 1533-position model. Lineage: Bacteria; Bacillati; Actinomycetota; Actinomycetes; Mycobacteriales; Nocardiaceae. The record is from RNAcentral.
UGGGUCUAAUACCGGAUAUGACCUCCUAUCGCAUGGUGGGUGGUGGAAAGAUUUAUCGGUGCAGGAUGGGCCCGCGGCCUAUCAGCUUGUUGGUGGGGUAAUGGCCUACCAAGGCGACGACGGGUAGCCGACCUGAGAGGGUGACCGGCCACACUGGGACUGAGACACGGCCCAGACUCCUACGGGAGGCAGCAGUGGGGAAUAUUGCACAAUGGGCGAAAGCCUGAUGCAGCGACGCCGCGUGAGGGAUGACGGCCUUCGGGUUGUAAACCUCUUUCAGCAGGGACGAAGCGCAAGUGACGGUACCUGCAGAAGAAGCACCGGCUAACUACGUGCCAGCAGCCGCGGUAAUACGUAGGGUGCAAGCGUUGUCCGGAAUUACUGGGCGUAAAGAGUUCGUAGGCGGUUUGUCGCGUCGUUUGUGAAAACCAGCAGCUCAACUGCUGGCUUGCAGGCGAUACGGGCAGACUUGAGUACUGCAGGGGAGACUGGAAUUCCUGGUGUAGCGGUGAAAUGCGCAGAUAUCAGGAGGAACACCGGUGGCGAAGGCGGGUCUCUGGGCAGUAACUGACGCUGAGGAA